Molecule: ribosomal RNA, 614 nt
Filed under: Staphylococcus aureus
Lineage: Bacteria; Bacillati; Bacillota; Bacilli; Caryophanales; Staphylococcaceae
Description: partial 23S ribosomal RNA
Rfam family: Bacterial large subunit ribosomal RNA
Source: RNAcentral
GAUUAAGUUAUUAAGGGCGCACGGUGGAUGCCUUGGCACUAGAAGCCGAUGAAGGACGUUACUAACGACGAUAUGCUUUGGGGAGCUGUAAGUAAGCUUUGAUCCAGAGAUUUCCGAAUGGGGAAACCCAGCAUGAGUUAUGUCAUGUUAUCGAUAUGUGAAUACAUAGCAUAUCAGAAGGCACACCCGGAGAACUGAAACAUCUUAGUACCCGGAGGAAGAGAAAGAAAAUUCGAUUCCCUUAGUAGCGGCGAGCGAAACGGGAAGAGCCCAAACCAACAAGCUUGCUUGUUGGGGUUGUAGGACACUCUAUACGGAGUUACAAAGGACGACAUUAGACGAAUCAUCUGGAAAGAUGAAUCAAAGAAGGUAAUAAUCCUGUAGUCGAAAAUGUUGUCUCUCUUGAGUGGAUCCUGAGUACGACGGAGCACGUGAAAUUCCGUCGGAAUCUGGGAGGACCAUCUCCUAAGGCUAAAUACUCUCUAGUGACCGAUAGUGAACCAGUACCGUGAGGGAAAGGUGAAAAGCACCCCGGAAGGGGAGUGAAAUAGAACCUGAAACCGUGUGCUUACAAGUAGUCAGAGCCCGUUAAUGGGUGAUGGCGUGCCUUUUGU